ACUGGCAAGCUUGAGUCUCGUAGAGGGGGGUAGAAUUCCAGGUGUAGCGGUGAAAUGCGUAGAGAUCUGGAGGAAUAUCGGUGGCGAAGGCGGCCCCCUGGACGAAGACUGACGCUCAGGUGCGAAAGCGUGGGGAGCAAACAGGAUUAGAUACCCUGGUAGUCCACGCCGUAAACGAUGUCGACUUGGAGGUUGUGCCCUUGAGGCGUGGCUUCCGGAGCUAACGCGUUAAGUCGACCGCCUGGGGAGUACGGCCGCAAGGUUAAAACUCAAAUGAAUUGACGGGGGCCCGCACAAGCGGUGGAGCAUGUGGUUUAAUUCGAUGCAACGCGAAGAACCUUACCUGGUCUUGACAUCCAC
Molecule: ribosomal RNA, 360 nt
Filed under: Shigella sonnei
Lineage: Bacteria; Pseudomonadati; Pseudomonadota; Gammaproteobacteria; Enterobacterales; Enterobacteriaceae
Description: bacterial SSU rRNA
Rfam family: Bacterial small subunit ribosomal RNA
Source: RNAcentral